Molecule: ribosomal RNA, 560 nt
Filed under: Pristimantis taeniatus (banded robber frog)
Lineage: Eukaryota; Metazoa; Chordata; Amphibia; Anura; Strabomantidae
Description: partial 16S ribosomal RNA
Rfam family: Bacterial large subunit ribosomal RNA
Source: RNAcentral
CGCCUCUUGAACUCAUAAGAGGUCCAGCCUGCCCAGUGACCCCGUUCAACGGCCGCGGUAUCCUAACCGUGCGAAGGUAGCGUAAUCACUUGUUUUCUAAAUAAAGACCAGUAUGAAAGGCAUCACGAGGGUUAAGCUGUCUCCUUUUUCUAAUCAGUGAAUCUAAUCUCCCCGUGAAGAAGCGAGGAUAAAACUAUAAGACGAGAAGACCCUGUGAAGCUUAAGACUUUAUAAUACCUGCUUACCUUUUUCCCACUACUACGGUAAAUCCUCUAAUAGCAUUUUAAUUAUGCGUCUUUGGUUGGGGUGACCGCGGAGAAAAACUAACCCUCCGUAAUGAAAGGGAACUUCCCCAAGCAAUAAGUUACAACUUUAAGCAUCAAAAAACUGACAUGUUGACCCAAUAAAUUGAUUAAUGAACCAAGUUACCCCAGGGAUAACAGCACAAUCCGCUUUGAGAGCUCAUAUCGACAAGCGGGCUUAUGACCUCGAUGUUGGAUCGGGAUAUCCUAGUGGUGCAGCCGCUACUAAGGGUUCGUUUGUUCAACGAUUAAAACCCC